CCGAGGAGCUGCCCUUUCCUUGCCAUCCAUGCGGCCAGGUCUCAGACAAACCGAUGGCUUUGUGUCAAACCAAGGCCGCCUUCCUCACCUCUGAUAAGAUGGACGCCUUCUGUCUUCGCGUUUUCAGGCACCCGGGGAAGACCCACAGAACAGGCUAGCUUGUUCCCAAUUUCCACCUGCUUCCUCCCCAUCCCGGACCGACAAAAAUUGUCGUCUGUUUGAUGGGAGGGAGAACUCCGACUCCCCCACCUGGGGCAUGCAGACACCCUCGCCCUUCCCCAGUUGGCAUGGACCGUCGUCUUUUCUCCCUCUUCCAUCAGAUCGAUGGACAAACAGGCCAGUUUCUCCCCAGUGGCCCCCACCUAAGAGCACCCUAAGUUGUCCACAGCAGGGCUAGGAAGCAGAAGGUCAGGACACUCCCCUACCCUACCUUGACUUAGAGCUGGGUAAACCCAGAACCCAUCCCCGGGCAAAUAGAGCCAGCUCCUUUGCCCCAGGAAGGGGAUUCGUCUCCCUCUGGCAUUUAGGAGUGCUCUCUAAGUGCGUUCUUGGCAGUGAGGGUGCCGCCUUCCCAGGGCAGGUGUGAUUCAUGUGGACUCUGUGGCGCCUGGGCAGGGAUCCCCAGGUAUACCAGACAAGGGGCAGGUGUGCCCUGGGAAACCGCCUAAGAGGUCCAUGGGCUAUGGAAGGAGCUGGGGUCCACAGUCCCUCUGCCUGAGCGUGUCUUUUUCCCUCACCCACAGCGCUCUAGGGAAAGUUGCCUAAACCUCUCUGAGCCUCAUUUCUUUCAUUUGUAAAGUGGGGCACUCAUAGUGGCCCUUCAUAGAAUUGUGUGUAAAGUGCUUAGCACAGGCCUGGCACAUGGAGGGUGCUCCAGCCUCCGGGAGCCAUCACUGUCAUGAAAAAAUAAGACCUCUCAAUCCUUGCUGGGGGCCUUUGACCCACCCCUCCUCUCUCUGGGCCUCACACUUCCAUCUGUGAAAUGUCCAGUUCUCAUAUUCAAAGCUUACUAGGACUCCAAGCCAGUCCAUGCUGUCCUGAUCCCUCAAUUCGCCCACAGGCUGCCUGGGGGAGGUAAGGACUGGCUGUGACCUACCUCCACGUGGAGUCAGCUCAUAGCGGGGUUUCCAGCAACCAUCACAGGGCGGCCAGAGCUGGGUCUCGAUGAUUGCCUGUCUGACCAUUCCUCUCAGAACCUCACUUUCGCCCCCAGCCGGCCGCCCUCCUGUGGGCAGACCCUUUCCUGAGUAGCAACUGGGCCUCAGCGGACACUGCCAGGGACCCCGUUUCCUUCCCAGGAGGCCUCUGUUCCCCAUAUCCCGAAUCACACAGGAGCCUAGUCCAGCGAAGAGAGCAGAGGACUCUCUUCUAGAACUGAAAAUUUCUCCCAGCCUGGCCCUAAAUCCCCUGUCCAGAGGGACCCGUGGUGAAACCUAUCUCCUGCCCAGUGCCCUAGAACUCAAAGGGGACAUUCAUGCCCCUCACUGAGCCUCAAUUUCCUCUUCUGUCAAUGGAGGUCAUUCUAACCACUCCAUUUCACGGGAGGGGGAUUAAGGAUUCCCUCUAGGAGGGGAGGGGCAUCAUUGUGAUUGAUGAUCGAUUGUUUGAAGAAACAGAAAGAAAAUGCUGCUGAGUAAACUAGGACUCAUCUGCAUCCUGAUUUCAGAUAAUGAUCUCUGAAUAUAUAAGCGAGAAAUGUUAAUGAAAAAUGGCAAUAUAUCUGGGUUGAGGGGUUGUCUCCUGUAGGCCGGGGGUCCAGCUCCAGAGAGUCCAGCUCUGGGGUCAUCUAUCCUGGGCAGCCUCUCUGGAAGGAUUCAGAAUGUGUGGGAGCACAAAUGUGCUUCUCAAAUUACAGAGAUCUUUCUUCCUUUUUGGAAAGUUCCAGACUUGGAGGGGAGGGAGAAGGAGCAAGGGAGAGCAGGGUGGUGAGGGUGUUAGGACCCAGAUGCUGCCUGUGCGGUCUGAGACUUUUGCCUGGUGUCCACGCUCCCCUGAGCCUUGGUCCCCGAGGGUAAAAUGGGAAGAACAGUAACAGCUGGGGGUGCUGAGGCUUUACCUUGUGCCAGGCGCCGCACAUGGGCAUUGCUCAUGGUAUUCAAUCCCCACGGCGUCAUAUGUGGUAGGUGUUAUGCCCAUGUAAGCAAAGAGGAACGUUGUCCGAGGUCAGCCAGGCUAGAGAGGGCCAGACCCGGGUUAAAAGUCUGCUCUGGUUCAAAAUGUGGGGCAUGAACGCAUCACCUGGCCAAGCAUGUCAGCACUCUCCUCCUAGUGGCUGAGUAAUGGGAAGAGCUAGCAUCUAGAUACAGAGGAAAGAGCUAUUGUGAUGGGGAGAGGGAGCUGGGUUUGGUAAAUCCUGCUAAGCAGCCCUGGGCUUGGAAAUCAGUAAACUCUUCAAAUCUGCAGGGAGUCAGGAAGGACUUGCCAGGGUCAUUCGGGAGGGUCCUGUGAUAGUCAAGGUGCACCCACCACCUGCUCUCCUUUGGCCUCAGAACCAGUCUGCGAGGAGGCAGGACUGGCAGUAGUCCCCAGUUUACAGAUGGGAACACUGAGGCCCAGAAAGGGGAAAGGGCGUGAUCAGGAUCUGGAAUGAGCUCCAGCAAGGCCAGGAGCAAGCACCUCGAGGCAAAACGCAGUUGGACAGGACCUUUGCCUUGCAGGAGACUGCAGCCCAGUCCUGGGCCUCAUACACUAGCACCCUGAUGCCACAUUCAGUGCCUCUCGCCCAGGGGAAGUGCUAAUCAGACGUGUUUCCCUCUGGGCCUCAGUGUUUGCAUCUGAAUGCGGGGGUGCACUUUCAAGGCCCCUCUACAUGCCAUGCGGGUUCCAUAGGACCCCAGGGUUUGGUUGUGACCCGAGGCCCCUCCUCCCCACCCACCUCCUCUCCACCUCCCGCGGGGCGCCAGCUCCCUUGCGUCCACAUGACCUCGGAUCCUUCCACGCCCAUCCCCACCCUGUUCUGCAGGUGGGUGGUCAGAGGGUGCUCUGCUUUGAGGAUGGGAGAGAGAAAGGGAGGCAAGGACGGAGAAAAGAGACUUCUUUUGCGGGAGCGCAGAGCAGAAAAACCGUCUCCAUCGGUUACCAGGGAAGGGGUUUCUGGUUUCAGAUCCCAUCACUUGGUGGGGCCUUCCUACCACCCUCCCUGCUACUCGCUCUUGUCAUCUGUAAAUCAGGGAAAUACUUCUGGAAGACAGUUAUCUGGUCUGUGACUUUGAUCAUUGGUCUAUGACUAAUAAUUGCCCUAAUUUUUUGAACACCUGCCGCAUGCUGGGAGUUUUCCGCCAAUUGUCGCUCACCCUCAGGUGCCUCUGAAGGGCAGAGAUUUUAUUCUUUCCAUUUCACAGAUGGGGAAACCCAAGCUCCGAAAGUAAAGAGCUUUUCCUCUGUGGGCCUCAGAAUCUGAGAAGUUCAAACAGGUUCUCAGGAGCCCUUCCAGCACCCCACUCCUCGAUCAGGGAGGGGCUGUCUGCACUCUGACCGCUGCUCUCAGCGCAGAGCUCUCCAUCCAAAGCAGCAGGUGCGUGCAGAGCUACCUGCCAGCAGAGCCAUCAAACACGGACUCUUCUACUGGGAGCCAUGGAGUGGUGAGAGAGACCUGGGCAGCUUGGAGCCAAGGGGGCUUCUGGGAAACAUGUGCCCUUCCCCCAGGGUGGGGUUCAGCUCUGGCGGGCAGGGAGAGAAAGGGCUCUUCUGAGUGGCUGUUGCUUUACACACAUUUUUGCUUCACAGUAUUCUUAGGGAGUAGCGACAGUUAUCACUCCCAUUUUACAGGAAAGAAAACUGAGGCUUAGAGAGCUCAAGUAACUUGUCCAAGUUGGCACCACUGGGAAACCACAGGGGUAGGAUUCCAACGAGGCAGCCUGGCCCCAGAGCCCAUGUUGCUGCCCACUACACUCUACUCUUGUGGACUAAAACCAGAUGCUCAGAGUUACAGUCAUGGAAUAGAAUUAGAAUCCUGGCAGAAGAACUGUGGGCAGGAUUCGGAAUUUUACAAUGUCAGACUCGAAAGGGCUCUGAGAUAUCAAAUCCAAAUCCCCAUUUCUCAAAUGACAGAACUGAGGCCUAGGAAGGAAGAGUCUCACUCAAGGUCACAGCCAGUGCCAGGGACAGAGUCUGCACCCCCUGCCUCUCCAGCUACCUCCCGCUGACUCCGCACCUUCCUCUCUCGCAGGCCCUCCUCUCCCCACUGCCCACCCAGCAGCUUCUGGGCCCAGCCAGGCCCAUUAGGGAUUUUCCACCUCCCCAAAAAGGUCCUGAUGACUGUCAGUCCUUGUGAAGCCUUAAUUAAUCUCAGAGGCCGAUGGCUCGGAGGAGACUGGGGGCUUUGGCCUUACGCAGAUGAAGAUUGCGGCUCUAUUUCAUGUGGUGGUGAAAGAACGCCUCAGACAUUCCUGCCAGCAAUAAAAGCCACAUGGCUUUCCAGCAUCGCCCUUGGAAAAGAAAAAAAAGUGCAGCCCUUUGCGGAAAUAAAUCAACUAUGUGCUGUACGCAUGGCAUGAGAUACAAAUGGGCAUACGGAGGUGGGCAACAGUCGGUCUUUUAUGCCGCCUCUGAUGUCCACUGACAGUGGCAGGGCCAGCGGUCAUGGUCCCAGCUGCAAUCCUGGGGAGAGGGAGUGACCCCCAGUGUGGUGGGGGAAGCCUCAGCUUCUCCACCUGAACUGGAUUUGAGCCACCCUAGAUAUCCCAGAGGCAGGGCCGGCUUUCUGGCCUGUGACCCAUGCAGUCGCACAGGGCCCUGGUCUCAGAAGGGUCCUGAGCUUGUUUUAAUGCCCUGCCACCACUGCCUUGAACUUCUGAAUACUUGCUCAACAAAGGUCCUGCGUUUUCAUUUUGUACUGGGCCCCCCAAAUUAUAUAGCCAGUCCUGACCACAAAUCCACCCCUCAUCACCAAUUGUCACGUCUCUCCUGGCCCCUGCCAUGUACCCAAUCCCGGGGAGUAGGGUUUCUUGAGUGCCUACUAGCCAGUUUGCUUAUAUCACCUGAGAUGAACUUCAGAAUGACUUUGUGAAUUGGGCAGAUGUGGAAAAUUGAGGCUCAGAGAGGCUUCCAUAUGGCAAGGAAGCCUAGACUUGAACUCAGGUCUCCCUGACUCCAAAGUGAGUGCUCUUAGCAGCUCUACAUUCUGCAUUAUUUCAUCUUCACCAUGCCCAGGGGGAUGGGGAUACACACAGUUAGGCUGCUCUAUUCCCAGAUAACAGAAGGCAUAACUGAGGCCAGAGAAGUGAAGGUUCUCAAGUCAGUGUCAAACCGAGGGCCUGGGCAACAGUGGACCUGGGCCUGGAUCCAUAGGGCUGGGGAUGGAGUCUCAGUUUUAUAGUUGUUUGUGCCACUUGUAAAUUUAUUAGCUCUUUCCAUGCAGGUCACUGCCUUGAGUCUGGUCUGGAAUGUGGCUGGAGCCCUACCCUGUCCCCCUCCCCCACAGCUCUCCAUUCUAAACAUCUGGAAGUCCUUCCUUGUGUCUUCUUCCACUCUUUCACGCUGCAGUUUUCCUCUGCCACCCUCACUGGUUGGGAAGCAGUUGGAUCUGGCACCUUGAUAAACUCAAAAGAGUCCAAAUUCUUGAUGAAAGUUGGGGCUGAACAGAGCCCAUAGAUUGCCAUGUCCUAUAACCAGGCCUGGGCCUAAGGCUCAUAGAGCCAACUGCUAGAUCCAGGGCAGCCAUUUCCUUGUUCCUUGCUGGGUAACCUUGAGCAAGUCCCUUCCCUCUCUGGCCCUCAGACUCCCCUUCAGGGAGAUAAAUGCAUUGGACCACACCUGAGCCCCAGGAGGCCUCUCUGUCUUCAACAUUCUAGAAUUCCAUAUUAAUCUACAACAGGUCUGUUCAUUUCCGCAUCUAAUAGCUGGGGAAACCGAGGCCCAGGAAGGAUCAGAGAUUUGCCCACCGUCACAGAAGGUGCUUAUUGACAAGUGGACUUGACUCUGAGGCUCCUGUCAGCUGGCCCGGUUGCCUCUGCACAAACUUUCGGAGGAUCUGGCCUCAGCAUCAGCUCAGCUUGCCCUUGUCCCGCCGCCUUUAGCCCAGGUGGUCUGUCAGGCACCCUCAGUGUCCAGGCCUGGAAAUCACAGCUAAGAGUCCUUGGCAGGCAAUAAAGUUCCUCUUCUAUGGCUUGAAUGUCUCCCAAAAGUCAUACAUUAAAACUUCACCCCCAUUGUGAUGGUAUUAAGAGGCAGUGGGGGGCCUUUCGGGAAGUGAUUAAGUGGUGAAGGCUCUGCCCUCAUGAAUGGAUUAGGCCCUCUUUGCCCUUCUGACUUCAGGACACAAUGUUCUGUGUCCUCCGGAGGACACAGCCAGAAGACACUGCCUUGGAAACAGGGAGUCCAGGACCUCACCAGAUGCGGAACCUGCCAGAGCCUUGAUCUUGGACUUCCCAGUCUCCAGAACCAUGUGUAUGAGAAGGGCUGAAUAUCACCUGUGAGCCUGCCCCUGCUCCCAAGAACACCCUUUGGACACCUGUGGGCUCUGCAAGGUUGGUGUAACCCCUACAGAUGAGGAAACCAGAGACAGAGAAGUGAAGUAACUCAUGCAGGUGACGGCAGAGGGCAGAGUCAGGACUUGAACCUGGAGAGCCUGGCUCUAAAGCCCAAGCUGGAAUCUCGAUACUCUACACCUCGAUAAGUUUUUGGGAAAUGACUGACUAAACAGAUGAACGCGUUUGCCCCCCCGCCGCCCCAGAGCCCCCUUAAAGCCUACAUGUGGCAGUUUGGGCCCAUUUCCUUGGCUUCCCUCCCUGGAGGGGCACCCACUGCCAGUGUCCCUGCUGAAAUUUAGCAUCAUAUUCCAUGGCGAUUUUCCACCAGUGGAAAUCACAGGUGUUCUCUGGUAUCACAGCGGGGUCAGGGAUGACCUGAAAUAUUGUUCAUGCUCAUCACAACUGCAUGGCCCACCGCGGGGUCUUGUCACUCAGUGAGUUCUUGAAGAGGCACAGACAAAUGGAGUUCAACAAAUGGAAAACAACUGCCUUUAAUUAGCUCCGAGGACUACAAAGGGAACAACGUUAUAAUAGCAGCAACUCCAAGGAAGCAGCCACAGCUCUCAGCUCUCAGACCUGGGGCUGCCGCUCAUCAUCAGCUACAGCUAGGUUUGAUGGGAGUGCCCCCAUUUCAGGGGACAGCAGGCCCCCUUCACUCCCCGACUCAGUCCCCAUCUGCAGCAGCACAGCCUUCCUUGGCCUCACCAGGGAAGAAGAACAGGCCCCGCUCUCAGACAAGCCUUCCCAGAAGCCUGAGGACUCAAACACCCAAAUGUGUCUGGGUCCCUGCCCCGAGCCGGCCACCCAGGCAGCAGCCCUGAAUCACUCGGUCAGCCAGCGGCAGGGCAGGCCAAUGGGCUGGAGGGUAGGCAGGCAGGCAGACCCACCUCUGCAUCUCUGCUGACUGCCUCGGCUGAGGAAAGGCAGCACCAGCCCCCAACCCUGAAGUUCUAGAUCUCAUGCAGCCUCUCUGUUCUGGAACCAUCCAGAGGCACUGCCCUUAUACAUGGUCCACCCCCAGGCUCAGACAAUGAGAAUUCCACAAGCAGAGGGGACUCUAUUUGGGGCACAGAGAGGUUAAGUAACUCCCCUCCUAAGGUCUCUCAGCAAGGAAGCCACUGAGCCGUGGGACUUGAGCUCAGGGACUCUUGAUCCCCAGUCUCAGGUGUCACAGCCCCAUCUGGGCUCCUGCUAGGGAGGAGGAAGGCAGCAGGGGGUGUCUGAGGCCAGGGUGCAUCAGCCCUAAAUGCCAGACAGAGGCAGGAGAAGUCUCCCCAUGAGUCCCAGCCCCAUUAGAGGCUCCAGGUCGGGGAUCCCAGACCCCCUAUCCUUGCUGGGAGACACAACCCAGAACUCUGCAUCCCUGCAGCCACCAAAAAAGGCAAAAGCUGCCCAGAAACACUUUCUCCUCUUCCGUGGCCAAAUCCACGAACUUUCUCGAGGUCUGUCCCCCUGCCCCGUGCAGGUCCAGCUUCAGUGCAGCCCAGCUCUGUGCAGUUUUCCACAAAAGCCUGUGGCUUCCUUCUCCUCCCUCUGCUUCUGAUACCCCAGGAGUUACACACAAAAUGUUGGCGGUGGUCUCCAGGAAGACCCCUGCAUCCCACAGCUCUCCCCAGAAGUUGCCAGCAGUGACCUCCUGAGCCCAGGUGGGGAGUCCCAGGCAGGACAGGGGCUGGGGCUGCAGGCCCUGGGGCCCUGUUAGUGAAGCAGCAAGCCGAGGGUCCCUGAGAGUUUCCCUUGGCCCCUCUGAGGGCUGCCCUUUGAGGUCUUGAGGUCUUGGAGUAUCCAUCGCCCCCACGGCUUACUGUCCCCACCAGCGGAGGAUGAAAGUGCCACAGCGAUGUUCCACGCCAAGAGACCACAGAGACCACCAACCCCUCUUCCCACCUCAGGCUUUCAGAGGCCAGCGGAUUUAGGCGGACAGGCUGUGCGCUUGAGGGCAGCCAGGGCGGUCAGUGGAGGGACGUGGUCCGGGGCCUGGCCACAGCUCCCCACCCAGGGCCCUGGGCUAUUGU
This 8485-nucleotide long non-coding RNA is filed under the name Homo sapiens (human). Its description in RNAcentral is "HSALNT0290871". The record is from RNAcentral. Lineage: Eukaryota; Metazoa; Chordata; Mammalia; Primates; Hominidae.